Molecule: long non-coding RNA, 2581 nt
Organism: Pipra filicauda (Wire-tailed manakin)
Lineage: Eukaryota; Metazoa; Chordata; Aves; Passeriformes; Pipridae
Exons: 2
Source: RefSeq, a predicted model, not a curated record
GAUGGGACGGCGCGCGGUGGAACGGCACGGCGCCGGCAGCGGGGCCCUCCGCUCCGUGUUGCAGCCACCGCCCCGCUGCCGCCCUCGCCUCCCCAACCCCCGCCGCCUCCAGCCCUGCCAAAGGCUGGGGCGACGCCAGCUCGCGCCCUCCGGGGCUGUGCCAGCGCCGGCCGCGCGCCCGGGCAGCCCCCGCGCCCUCCCCGCGGCGCCUCGCGGCGCGCCCCGCGCCCUCCCCGCGGCCGCCGCAGCCCGUGUGUCCGGCCACCCACGCCCCCCCCGGUUCACCUCGCCGGGCUGGGGGCGGCGCAGCCCCGCGGGGGUGUCCCCAGGGCCGCGGGCAGGCCCUCCAUCGCUGCACAGGAAAUACUUGACCUAGUGUGUCACAGCAUCGCGCUGGUCUUUUCCGUGGCCGCGCUGACCUGGGAGCUGGGAAGGGCUUUCAGCGUCCCCGCCGCCUCCCGGUAGCCCCUACGGACGUGCGUGUGGCUCAGCAAGAUCUCAGUUCUCCAGGCCCUUUCGGACGUAACUGUCACCGUCUGCUAGUACGUUUCAGUCCCCCCUUCUAAUACUCUGAUACACCCAAAUCCUGUCUUCCUGCUCUGCGUUAAUGAUGCCACUCUUGCAUCAGCACCAAAUCUCUGCACGCAAGAUACUUAGCAAACACAACGAGCAAAAGUACCAAAUAAAACUGGUCACAAGGCAAAACUGCAUCUGUAACCUCCCUCCAGUCCAAAAGCUCCCUGUGAAGAGACAACCCGUAAUCUUCCUUCUUGAAUUUGGAUUCAAUUUCUGUGUACAAAUCUUAAAAUGAUAUCCACUACCAUAGGAAGUUGCUGAAGUUUAAAUUAUAUACCAGACCAAAAACACUUGGAAAAGGCAAACUGUCAACAGAAAUUCAAAGGCUUCCAAUGCUCAGCUCGGCGAGAAACAGAUGGAGAAGCAGAUUAGUGCCUUGUCAUUUAUAGCGCUGUUUGUUACAUAGGUUACAUGCGUUCUCAUUUCCUUCAUCUUACACUCCUGAGGCCUGGCCUAAAACCCGCUGAAACUGAAGGGAGUCUUUCCGCUUUACUUCACCCUGUUUUGCAUCAGAUCUUUACACAGUGCAGCUGAUACGGAGCGUAACCAGGUCUGCACUCUGAUUGGAGCCAGUUCAUUAGAUAAAUAAUUAGCAUGCAGCUUCUUGUCAAAAUCUGGAAGUACUUUAAACUGAAACUGUAGCAGUUAAUGGUUGAUUCUGCUUUUUACUGGUUUUGAAUGCCAAAAACCACCCUGGGACUUCUUAAUGAAGGCUAUUCCAUGAAUAGAGGAUGUUCUUGCCAAAGCUCUGCACCAGAUAACUGAGCAAUCUUCGUUUCCUUUUUCCUCUGAAGUGGGACUCCCACACGCCACCACUGUAAACAUAGAGCUUGCCUCCAUAAACAUGAUUUUUGAUGUUUAGCACAACACAUACUCUAGUGUACUUAAAGUGCAGCAAGCUUCUCACAUUCUGAGUAACAGCCCUAAAAAUAGCUGUUUAUGGACAAUACCAGAUGGAUAUUAGGAAUUAGCACAGUCACUGGGCAACGAUUAUACUUCUUUGUAAAGAAGCUCAGCUUUCUACCAUCCAAUAGGGUUGGUGCCAUUUAAUUUGCUGCCCUAAGCCAUAAUAUCUGCUUUUUCAUAAAUCAGAAGAUGGAUUAGUUAAAAUCAAUUUAUUACAGAACACAAGAAAAUAUCAGCCAAAAUAAACCAAACUUCUGUAAGUAUUUGUCCAAUGUUACUUUCUACAAAUAUUCUUGAAGCAUCCAAAACCUGUUCUGUUUGUAAAGAUCUCUGUGUGAAACACAUCCGAAAGCAGCUCUGCAUUCAGCAUCUGUGUAUAGAGCAGCACACACAUCUGUCCAUAUGCACAGCCCACUUUGUGUGACUGUGUAGCAGCACCAUGACAUCAUCAGCCUUGUCUGCAGUAAUUGACAGGGCGAGCAUUCUGUUUUGUUAUUUUUAUGACUACCAUAAUUAGUGAUUUCCUGUGGAUUUCAUCAAUGUUUCUUUUUUUUCUGAGUCCACAUCAUUCCCUCAGAUGGUUAGCUUGUUUUCACAGCUCAGCUUUCCCUGCUGAAGCCAGCUGCCCUUUAGAAAUCACUCUCUCUCGCGUCUACAAGAUAGCAGGAAACAAGGGUCAUUGUCUCAUUUCUUCCCCUUCCCCCAAAAGAGUUAGGAGUUCAGGUUUGGUUUGGAUAAAAUCCUGAAAUGUGGAUAUGCCUCUGAAUUACCUCAUCGUCUUGGUUUGAGCCCUUAGUUGAACUUUGUCCCAAAAUCCAACUCCAACUAACCAGUGAAAAGUUUAGUAUAGACUUAAAAAAGCAUGGAAUCAAAAUUUACCUUGGUAUAAACAUAUAUUUUGAAAACAAAAUACAUACUUAUAUUAUAAAUUAUAUGUAAUUGGCUUUUUGGAAUUCUUACCCCCACCAGUUUAAGGAAUGAUCUCACAGAUCCUUGCAUCUGCCAGAUGAGUAGCUUCAUUCAUAUCAUAUAUAUAUAAUUCUACCGUACCAACUGUGAAAUAAAGUUAUUUGCCUAAAUAAAUGUUUACAUUUAACCC